RNAcentral lists this ribosomal RNA (455 nucleotides) under uncultured organism. RNAcentral's name for it is "partial 16S ribosomal RNA". It matches the Rfam family "Bacterial small subunit ribosomal RNA", at positions 329 to 800 of the family's 1533-position model. The record is from RNAcentral.
ACGUACACUCCUGCGGGAGGCAGCAGUGGGGAAUAUUGGACAAUGGGCGCAAGCCUGAUCCAGCCAUGCCGCGUGAGUGAUGAAGGCCCUAGGGUUGUAAAGCUCUUUCACCGGUGAAGAUAAUGACGGUAACCGGAGAAGAAGCCCCGGCUAACUUCGUGCCAGCAGCCGCGGUAAUACGAAGGGGGCUAGCGUUGUUCGGAUUUACUGGGCGUAAAGCGCACGUAGGCGGACUAUUAAGUCAGGGGUGAAAUCCCGGGGCUCAACCCCGGAACUGCCUUUGAUACUGGUAGUCUUGAGUUCGAGAGAUGUGAGUGGAAUUCCGAGUGUAGAGGUGAAAUUCGUAGAUAUUCGGAGGAACACCAGUGGCGAAGGCGGCUCACUGGCUCGAUACUGACGCUGAGGUGCGAAAGCGUGGGGAGCAAACAGGAUUAGAUACCCGAGUAGUCCCAUGA